This 253-nucleotide ribosomal RNA is filed under the name uncultured bacterium. RNAcentral's name for it is "partial 16S ribosomal RNA". It matches the Rfam family "Bacterial small subunit ribosomal RNA", at positions 524 to 776 of the family's 1533-position model. The record is from RNAcentral.
UACGGAGGGUGCAAGCGUUGCUCGGAAUUAUUGGGCGUAAAGGGUAGGUAGGUGGUCUCAUUUGUCUGGGGUGAAAGCCUUGAGCUUAACUCAAGAAGUGCCCCAGAAACGGUGAGACUGGAGUCCUGGAGAGGGUCGUGGAAUUCCCGGUGUAGCGGUGAAAUGCGUAGAUAUGCGGAGGAACACCGAUGGCGAAGGCAAUCCCCUGGGCCUGCACUGACGCUCAUGCACGAAAGCGUGGGGAGCAAACAGG